UUUCCGUAGGUGAACCUGCGGAAGGAUCAUUAAUGAGAUCAUGCCCUUCGGGGUAGACCUCCCACCCUCUGUAUACAAUACCUUUGUUGCUUUGGCAGGACGCCUUCGGGCUCUCGGCUCUGGCUGAGAUGCGCCUGCCAGAGGACCCCAACUCUGUGUUUAGUGUCGUCUGAGUACUAUUUUAAUACGUUAAAACUUUCAACAACGGAUCUCUUGGUUCUGGCAUCGAUGAAGAACGCAGC
Molecule: unclassified non-coding RNA, 242 nt
Filed under: uncultured fungus
Lineage: Eukaryota; Fungi
Description: sequence contains ITS1, 5.8S rRNA gene
Rfam family: 5.8S ribosomal RNA (bases 194-242)
Source: RNAcentral